This is a non-coding RNA of Malus domestica (apple), 530 nucleotides long. The record is from RefSeq and is a predicted model, not a curated record. Lineage: Eukaryota; Viridiplantae; Streptophyta; Magnoliopsida; Rosales; Rosaceae.
CCUCUCCAUGACAGCAUUUCCAGCCUUGUGUACAGUAUGCGAACCGAAAAUGUAGUCUCUGUAAUGUGCAAUGGUCUGUGGAUUAUGAAGGAUAAGAAGAUUUUGAACGUGGAUGAGGAAGAAGUUCUUGCAAAGGCAAAGCAAGCUUCCGCAGAAAUUCUGAAGCGGGCAGGGAUCAAAAUACCAAGUAGAAUGAAUUUUCUUUAGGCUCAACGCUCAAGAUACGCCACACGCGAGGCAAUGGAUAAAGGGGUCACUUCACGACAGUAUGCUGCUAUGCUAGAAGUAGGAGAUGUCGGUUUAUUGAACAUAGGAGGGAAGAGAAACGAGAGACACGAAUGCCAUAAACGAUAUCAGUUUGUCCAUCAGGGAAAUAAGUUUGAAACUUUGAAGUGUUGUAAGUGCCCGUUGAUUGAAUAAAAUUGGCAUUUGAAAAGAGAAACACGGGUUUGUAACACGAGAACUGAUGUAUGCACAUUUUUUUAGGCCUAAUUGGAUAAAUGUUCCUCAUGAUAGGAUAUUCAGAAGAU